This 29-nucleotide non-coding RNA is filed under the name Rattus norvegicus (Norway rat). Lineage: Eukaryota; Metazoa; Chordata; Mammalia; Rodentia; Muridae. The record is from RNAcentral.
GCAAAUUUGAUCCUGAUGCAGAGAUGCGA